RNAcentral lists this ribosomal RNA (247 nucleotides) under uncultured bacterium. RNAcentral's name for it is "partial 16S ribosomal RNA". It matches the Rfam family "Bacterial small subunit ribosomal RNA", at positions 523 to 769 of the family's 1533-position model. The record is from RNAcentral.
AGACGUAGGGGGCAAGCGUUGUCCGGAAUUACUGGGCGUAAAGGGUGCGUAGGCGGCAUUACAAGUCUAAUGUGAAAUCCCCGUGCUUAACAUGGGGUUUGCAAUAGAAACUGUAAAGCUAGAGUGCAGGAGAGGUAAGUGGAAUUCCUAGUGUAGCGGUGAAAUGCGUAGAUAUUGGGAGGAACACCAGUGGCGAAGGCGGCUUUCUGGACGGUGUCCGACGCUGAGGCGCGAAAGCCAGGGGGGC